Molecule: non-coding RNA, 233 nt
Filed under: Streptomyces sp. Mg1
Lineage: Bacteria; Bacillati; Actinomycetota; Actinomycetes; Kitasatosporales; Streptomycetaceae
Source: RNAcentral
AAAGUGGGCCGUGCAGCUGGUUCGCCCCCGUCCGCCAGGCGGGAAGCGUCGUAAGAGGGAACCCGGUGGGAAUCCGGGACUGCCCCGCAGCGGUGAGCGAGAACGACCGCCGUCAUACGCACUGGGCCCGGACGGGCCUGGGAAGCGACGGCCAGUAGGUGUCCGUCCCCGACCGACAGGUCGGGGCAGGCGUGCCCGCGAGUCCGAAGACCUGCCCGUUGCCCGCCGUGCGG